Long non-coding RNA from Hyaena hyaena (striped hyena), 604 nucleotides. RefSeq lists it as uncharacterized. The transcript is spliced from 4 exons. Lineage: Eukaryota; Metazoa; Chordata; Mammalia; Carnivora; Hyaenidae. The record is from RefSeq and is a predicted model, not a curated record.
CCCCGGUUCCUCAGUGCAGCCCCAUGCUGACCUCAAGGAGGAGCAGAAAGGGGAGGGAAGAUCUCCCGUGAAAAUCUUGUCUUGAGAAGAAGGGGCAGGGAUUGCAAACGAUCGGCACCGUGGGAGACAGGGAGAUGGCUCGAUUGGCAGGAAUGAUAACCAACAUUGAUAGAAGGUGGUACCUUCCAGUAGGCACCACUCUGAGCACUUCUCAAGUGUUGGCGCAGUCCUGGUAACAGUCUUACGGUUCUGGGAAAGCUUUCUUCAGAGACUGUGUCUAUACCACCGACCAAACAGUAGAUGAGGGCUAUCAGGUCCCACGUGCUGCAGAUUCACAGACCCAAGCAGGCACCUGGGCGACAGAGUGCAGGGGCACUGCUGACCCCGUACCAAGUGCCUGACGCUCUUUCAGGUGUUGGGGUUUGAAAAAAGAAGGACCAAAUCAUCACCCUCACAACUGGAAGGUCAGGGAGCCAGGAGCAUGUAACGAGAGCGCUGGUGAAGGGACAAUUGUAAGACGUCUGAGGCAGUUGGUACUCAUUUUUCUUGGAGGCCAUUCCCCACAUUCAUAUCAAACACCCACAUCCCACAUUAAAUAAACAUG